RNAcentral lists this long non-coding RNA (331 nucleotides) under Gallus gallus (chicken). Lineage: Eukaryota; Metazoa; Chordata; Aves; Galliformes; Phasianidae. The record is from RNAcentral.
ACAGCUCUACGAUCUUUAAGGACCCCUCCAACCCAACCAUCCCACAGCUCUACAAUCUUUAAGGACCCCUCCAACCCAUCCCACAGCUCUACAACCUUUAAGGACCCCUCCAACCCAACCAUCCCACGGCUCUACGAUCUUUAAGGACCCCUCCAACCCAUCCCACGGCUCUACGAUCUUUAAGGACCCCUCCAUCCCAACUGUUGCAUGGUUCUCUGUUCCUCCUGUUGGCACUGUGCACCCUUUGCCAAUGUGGCCGUGCCGUGGCUGUGCCGGGGCCGCUCCACAGCAUUGCCAGCACAGCCUCCCCCACGCUGCACGUGCAGCCCCG